UACCGCACCAAGCUUUCCACUGCCCUCCAAGUUAACCAGGGGCUCUGGAUAAAAAGUUGUGGUUAUAGUGAGUUCACUCCAUUUUGCGAUAAACUGCCAGCGGACUUUCCCGUGCCGCCGGCGGUUAACAACUUCUGGAACAACG
This is a small nucleolar RNA of Drosophila melanogaster (fruit fly), 145 nucleotides long. The record is from Ensembl. NCBI's taxonomy places the organism in Eukaryota, Metazoa, Arthropoda, Insecta, Diptera, Drosophilidae.